AUACGGAGGGGGCUAGCGUUGUUCGGAAUUACUGGGCGUAAAGCGCACGUAGGCGGAUUAAAAAGUUAGAGGUGAAAUCCCAGGGCUUAACCCUGGAACUGCCUUUAAAACUAGUAGUCUAGAGUUCGAGAGAGGUGAGUGGAAUUCCAAGUGUAGAGGUGAAAUUCGUAGAUAUUUGGAGGAACACCAGUGGCGAAGGCGGCUCACUGGCUCGAUACUGACGCUGAGGUGCGAAAGCGUGGGGAACAAACAGGAUUAGAAACCCCAGUAGUCC
RNAcentral lists this ribosomal RNA (274 nucleotides) under uncultured bacterium. RNAcentral describes it as "partial 16S ribosomal RNA". It matches the Rfam family "Bacterial small subunit ribosomal RNA", at positions 523 to 796 of the family's 1533-position model. The record is from RNAcentral.